ACAGAGGCCACGACGAAGAAAGGCAGUUUCCUUACGUGUAACUGCCGUUCUUCGAGUUGUCAUCUGUGCAUUCACACA
Long non-coding RNA from Varanus komodoensis (Komodo dragon), 78 nucleotides. RefSeq lists it as uncharacterized. The record is from RefSeq and is a predicted model, not a curated record. The transcript is spliced from 3 exons. NCBI's taxonomy places the organism in Eukaryota, Metazoa, Chordata, Lepidosauria, Squamata, Varanidae.